GCGUGAGUGAUGAAGGCCUUCGGGUUGUAAAGCUCUUUCGCCCGCGACGAUGAUGACGGUAGCGGGAGAAGAAGCCCCGGCUAACUUCGUGCCAGCAGCCGCGGUAAUACGAAGGGGGCGAGCGUUGUUCGGAUUUACUGGGCGUAAAGGGCGCGUAGGCGGCGAUCCAAGUCGAGUGUGAAAGCCCCGGGCUCAACCUGGGAACGGCGCUCGAGACUGGGUGGCUGGAGUUCGGGAGAGGAGCGUGGAAUUCCCAGUGUAGAGGUGAAAUUCGU
This 275-nucleotide ribosomal RNA is filed under the name uncultured bacterium. RNAcentral describes it as "partial 16S ribosomal RNA". It matches the Rfam family "Bacterial small subunit ribosomal RNA", at positions 399 to 691 of the family's 1533-position model. The record is from RNAcentral.